UGAGAGGUGCAAAGUGGUAUGCGCCGCGCUCGAAAUGCGGCAUACCUGCAAGGGUAUCGUGGGUUCGAAUCCCACCCUCUCCGCCA
This 86-nucleotide transfer RNA is filed under the name Rhizobium sp. P007. Its description in RNAcentral is "tRNA-Ser(cga)". It matches the Rfam family "tRNA". Rfam says of the family: Transfer RNA (tRNA) molecules are approximately 80 nucleotides in length. Their secondary structure includes four short double-helical elements and three loops (D, anti-codon, and T loops). The record is from RNAcentral. Lineage: Bacteria; Pseudomonadati; Pseudomonadota; Alphaproteobacteria; Hyphomicrobiales; Rhizobiaceae. RNAcentral also lists the same sequence under 3 other names.